UACGGGGGGGGCAAGCGUUGUUCGGAAUUACUGGGCGUAAAGGGCGCGUAGGCGGCUUUUCAAGUCGGGCGUGAAAUCUCCGGGCUUAACCUGGAAGGGUCGUUCGAUACUGUCGAGCUAGAGUGUGGAAGAGGCUACUGGAAUUCCGCGUGUAGCAGUGAAAUUCGUAGAUAUUCGCAAGAACACCAGUGGCGAAGGCGGCUCACUGGCCCGAUACUGACGCUGAGGCACGAAAGCGUGGGGAGCAAACAGG
This 253-nucleotide ribosomal RNA is filed under the name uncultured bacterium. Its description in RNAcentral is "partial 16S ribosomal RNA". It matches the Rfam family "Bacterial small subunit ribosomal RNA", at positions 524 to 776 of the family's 1533-position model. The record is from RNAcentral.